RNAcentral lists this long non-coding RNA (637 nucleotides) under Ixodes scapularis (black-legged tick). Its description in RNAcentral is "uncharacterized LOC121834013, transcript variant X3". The record is from RNAcentral. Lineage: Eukaryota; Metazoa; Arthropoda; Arachnida; Ixodida; Ixodidae.
CACUUCUGCAGCGGCAGCAGACGUUGAAAAAUGAGGCUUGAGCCCAGAGGCAAGUUUGCUUACACGGCUUGGAGGUGAUCGAAUGUCACAGAAUGUGGAAGGCCAUCCGCAACCGCUAUGUUAAGAGACGAGAGCGGCGAAAGGCAAGAGUAAAGCUGGCGAGGAGGAUGUCCAGCCUCCCACGUGGGUUCUUUUCAAGUUCCUGGGGUUCCCCGAUGGUCAAAUCUGUGCAGAUGGUAGGCACAGAAUGUUUUGGACAACAAAGGGCACUGCAGAUUGUGCCGUAUUUUGUAUGCAUUGUAACGAUGACGUGGCAGAACCCUGGUUUGUCCCAAGACAAAAGGAGCCUCACACAACACCAUGUCUACAAACUGGAGUGAAGGAGCCCCCACUUCCGUGCCAGGAGAGAUCCUUGCGGAAAUGUAUUGCCCUGGAGAGACCGCAACCCCCGCAGAAAAUAGACAGCCUGGGAUGCCUGCUGAUGCCGAGAUGGAAGACAUACUGUAGCAUGAAGACAUACAUUUUAUUUAACAACUGCCUUCGAUAAGCAUGUUUGCAAGUGGCUCCUGUGUAAUUACCCUUUUCUCACUCUCCUCUUUCAUUUAAGCGAUUGGCUAUUCUUGGAGGCAGGUCCAAA